This is a non-coding RNA of Brassica napus (rape), 203 nucleotides long. The record is from Rfam. Lineage: Eukaryota; Viridiplantae; Streptophyta; Magnoliopsida; Brassicales; Brassicaceae.
UAGAUAUAGAAGGAGAUUCUUUCAGUCCAAUCAUGGAUAGAACAAGAAGAGAGUAGAAAUAUCUGCCGACUCAUCCAUCCAAACACCGGUGGUAAAAAAGACAAGAAAUUUUAGGCCACAGUGACUGUGUGAAUGAUGCGGGAGAUGUUUUUCAUCCUUCUUUAUCUGUGUUUGGACUGAAGGGAGCUCCUUCUUUCUCUACA